Molecule: ribosomal RNA, 810 nt
Filed under: Calepitrimerus sp. 18sr96
Lineage: Eukaryota; Metazoa; Arthropoda; Arachnida; Trombidiformes; Eriophyidae
Description: bacterial SSU rRNA
Rfam family: Eukaryotic small subunit ribosomal RNA
Source: RNAcentral
ACAAGCCUGAGAAACGGCUAGUAGGACUAAGGUCUGCAGCAGGCGCGAAACUUACACAAUGCUAGAUUAAAAUUAGCGAUGUAGUGAAGAAAAAUAACGAUGUACUUUCAUCUACAAAUGAUAGUACAAUUGGAAUGAGACGACUAUAAACCAGUUAGUCGAGUAACAAAUGGAGGGCAAGUCUGGUGCCAGCAGCCGCGGUAAUUCCAGCUCCAUUAGCAUACAUUAAAGUUGUUGCGGUUAAAAAGCUCGUAGUUGAAUUUUAGGCGGGCUCUAUUGGAUUGCAAUCGUUAAGACUAUCUUGCUCCGGCUUGAUUAGUUGGUUGUAUCAUCCUAUAGGAACCCGCUGUUUCGUCACUUAAUUGAGUGCGAAGCGGGCUGAAACAUUUGCUUAACCUCCGCGGUUGCAUUGUUCCAGCAAGUUUACCUUGAGAAAAUUAGAGUGCUCACAGCAGGCAGUUGGGGCGUAAAAACCCCUUUAUGCUUGGAUAAUGUUGCAUGGAAUAAUAGAAUACGGCCUCGGUUCUAUUCUGUUGGUCUUAUAGAACAACAAACAAGUUGGUUAAAGCGACAAAAAGUUCGUUUGUGAGUGUGGCUUCAAGGGCCUUUCAUUUAGUUUUGCACUUACUAGUUGCGUUGUGUUGCCUAGGGCCUUAAAAUCUUAGUGCCGCGCGCUUCUAACCAAGUCAAUUCUUGUGUUUGUUGCCCUUAAAGUCAUUUAAAGCACUCCUAAUUGGGCUAGCUUUCUAAUCAACUGAGGCAAUGGUUAAAAGAAAUAGUCGCGGCGGCAUCAGUACUGCAUCGUGAGAG